RNAcentral lists this ribosomal RNA (492 nucleotides) under uncultured bacterium. RNAcentral describes it as "partial 16S ribosomal RNA". It matches the Rfam family "Bacterial small subunit ribosomal RNA", at positions 29 to 507 of the family's 1533-position model. The record is from RNAcentral.
AGUGAACGCUGGCGGUAGGCCUAACACAUGCAAGUCGAACGGCAGCACAGUAAGAGCUUGCUCUUACGGGUGGCGAGUGGCGGGCGGGUGAGGAAUACAUCGGAAUCUACUUUUUCGUGGGGGAUAACGUAGGGAAACUUACGCUAAUACCGCAUACGACCUACGGGUGAAAGCAGGGGAUCUUCGGACCUUGCGCGAUUGAAUGAGCCGAUGUCGGAUUAGCUAGUUGGCGGGGUAAAGGCCCACCAAGGCGACGAUCCGUAGCUGGUCUGAGAGGGUGAUCGGCCACACUGGAACUGAGACACGGUCCAGACUCCUACGGGAGGCAGCAGUGGGGAAUAUUGGACAAUGGGCGCAAGCCUGAUCCAGCCAUACCGCGUGAGUGAAGAAGGCCUUCGGGUUGUAAAGCCCUGUUGUUGGGAAAGAAAAGCAGCAGGUGAAUACCCCGCUGUUCUGACGGUACCCAAAGAAUAAGCACCGGCUAACUUCGUG